RNAcentral lists this long non-coding RNA (225 nucleotides) under Homo sapiens (human). Its description in RNAcentral is "non-protein coding lnc-WDR49-4:1". The record is from RNAcentral. Lineage: Eukaryota; Metazoa; Chordata; Mammalia; Primates; Hominidae.
AGCAUAAUGAUUAAAAUUGGCAGGCAUCCUACAGGAAACAAACAUCAAGUGUGAUUACAGAAUUUACUGGGAAAAACUGAAAUCUGAAGAUUAACUCUGGCUUUGGCUGAAAAAGAAAAUCCAGGUCUCACACAAGACAUCAUUAUGAAAAUUUUAGAGAAAAAAAGCGUGGAAGUUAACUUCACGGAGUCCCUUCUUCGUAUGGCAGCUGAUGAUGUAGAAGGU